AGAGUUCGAUUAUGGCUCAGGACGAACGCUGUCGGCGCGCCUAACACAUGCAAGUCGAACGAAGUUGCUUUGAAUGAAUUCUUCGGAAGGAAUUUGAUUCAACUUAGUGGCGGACGGGUGAGUAACGCGUGAGUAACCUGCCUUUCAGAGGGGGAUAACGUCUGGAAACGGACGCUAAUACCGCAUAACAUAUUGGUUUCGCAUGGAGCUGAUAUCAAAGGAGCAAUCCGCUGAAAGAUGGACUCGCGUCCAAUUAGCUAGUUGGUGAGGUAACGGCCCACCAAGGCGACGAUUGGUAGCCGGACUGAGAGGUUGAACGGCCACAUUGGGACUGAGACACGGCCCAG
This 347-nucleotide ribosomal RNA is filed under the name uncultured bacterium. Its description in RNAcentral is "bacterial SSU rRNA". It matches the Rfam family "Bacterial small subunit ribosomal RNA", at positions 8 to 334 of the family's 1533-position model. The record is from RNAcentral.